This 429-nucleotide ribosomal RNA is filed under the name Actinomycetes bacterium. RNAcentral describes it as "Actinobacteria bacterium partial 16S ribosomal RNA". It matches the Rfam family "Bacterial small subunit ribosomal RNA", at positions 355 to 776 of the family's 1533-position model. Lineage: Bacteria; Bacillati; Actinomycetota; Actinomycetes. The record is from RNAcentral.
UAGGGAAUCUUCCGCAAUGGGCGAAAGCCUGACGGAGCAACGCCGCGUGAGUGAUGAAGGUCUUCGGAUCGUAAAACUCUGUUAUUAGGGAAGAACAAAUGUGUAAGUAACUAUGCACGUCUUGACGGUACCUAAUCAGAAAGCCACGGCUAACUACGUGCCAGCAGCCGCGGUAAUACGUAGGUGGCAAGCGUUAUCCGGAAUUAUUGGGCGUAAAGCGCGCGUAGGCGGUUUUUUAAGUCUGAUGUGAAAGCCCACGGCUCAACCGUGGAGGGUCAUUGGAAACUGGAAAACUUGAGUGCAGAAGAGGAAAGUGGAGUUCCAUGUGUAGCGGUGAGAUGCGCAGAGAUAUGGAGGAACACCAGUGGCGAAGGCGACUUUCUGGUCUGUAACUGACGCUGAUGUGCGAAAGCGUGGGGAUCAAACAGG